This is a long non-coding RNA of Oncorhynchus kisutch (coho salmon), 592 nucleotides long. RefSeq lists it as uncharacterized. The transcript is spliced from 3 exons. The record is from RefSeq and is a predicted model, not a curated record. NCBI's taxonomy places the organism in Eukaryota, Metazoa, Chordata, Actinopteri, Salmoniformes, Salmonidae.
UUGCAUAUGGCUACCCUUCCCCUACCUGUGGUGUUGGAAAAUGCUGUAUUGGGAGGAGGAUGCAUCAACCUUCUUUGAGCGAUACAUUUGUGUCUAUAAGCAUGAAGCAAUCAGUUACAAGGCAAAAACCAAGAUUGAGGCCUUCAAUCUACCCGAGGACAGAGAGAUGUGUGCAACCGGUGCAACUUCUUGCAUGCAUGCAUGGCUUUGAGAUCCUACCGGGGAACAGUGGGCUAACUGCCUUGUUCAGUGGCAGAACUACAGCUCGGGGAUACGAUCCAGCAACCGUUCGGUUACUGGCCCAACGCUCUAACCACUAGGCUGUUUCAGUGCAUGCAUUUUGGAUGAAAGACUUCCAUAGGGCCGCCAUCUUCAAAGUUCACUCAAAAAGGCAAUAGUUCUGAACUGGGUUUGAUUUAGUUUUUGAUGUUUUAAUUAUUAAAUCUUUUAAACUUUCAAUAGUUGAAAGCUAUUGCUCAUGUAUCACUUGGCUCAUGUAAAUUCAGUAGUUGCCCCUUUAAACAUCAUAAGAUCAACAUCCCCAUUGUGUUCACGUGUAAAUGUUGUAGCUACAUAAAAAUGUCAAACAAUA